AUCGUCAUUUUCAUUUUACUUAUCAAGUGAGUCAGAAGUAUAGUCAGUGACUGCAAAGUAAGACAGCAAGAGUUCAUGGAACCCAGGGUAUUCUUUACGAUGAAAAUGGAGACCUAAUGAUACCAUAGUUUUUUAAGUGGACUGUGAGAUAGACUAAUUGAAGGUAUAAAUUUUAGGUGAAACUAGAACUGUAGUCACCAACAAAAUUUUUAAGGUCUCUAUCCAGACAGGAAUAGUGAUGACGUAAAUCCACUUGCAAAAAAUUGCCGUUUGCCUAAUAGGCUAUUCUCACUGAUAGUUAUUGUAUUAUUUCACAUCAAUAAUUAUUAUUCAAUAAGUUUUCACUUUUCUUUCCUUUCACUGUCCCCGGUUCACCCAUUGCCUACAUUGGAGGUAGCCUGCAGUCUCAUCAUCACCAACUGAACUCAAUAUUGGGUCCAAGGUUGAACAUGCUACAAAGCCUUUUUUAAAGGUAUUCUACACACACACACACACACACACACACACGCAUUUGGACCAUACCCAUGGCACAUGGAUAUUCCCAGGCCAGAGAUCAGACCCAAGCCACAGCAGUGACAAUGCCAAAUCCUUGGCUGCAAGAUCACCGGGAAACGCCUACAAAGCAUUUUUUAAAAUUAACCUUAAAACAUCAUCUUUGUCCACCAAAAGGUAUAAUAAUGAUGAUGGUAACUGCUAUAAAUUACUAAGAUUUACCAUAAUAAUUUGUUAUUUCCAUUCUUACAACAGUAGUUAAGUAAAAUUAUCAACAUUUUAUAGAUGAAGAAACUGCUAGAUAGAGGUUAGGCAGACUUGUCCAAGGUCAUCCAGUAAGUGACAGCACUGGGAUUAGAAUCCACCUGUUAAUUACUCCAAAACCUAUACUGUGCAUAUUGCAGUUGCAUCCUUUCGUACUAGUUGCAAGAAAACAAGUUAGGAAAACAUUAUAUUCAUCAAUAAUCCCACCCAUUCUAAUUGAAUGGCAGAACUAGAGAAAGAGAAGGGGAAAAAAAAACAACUUGGGAAAGAAAAAUACAAGACAAAAAGAAAAGAUCAGAGAUUUUUUUUUCUUCUCAGGACACAAAUGAUACUUUUAUGUCAUACUUUGUAGAUGACUUAUCUUUUCAAAGACUUGGGGAUUCAUUUACUCUACCCGUUUAGCAAGUGCUUAUAUUCUGAAAGUGAAUUAACCAAUCUGGUCUGCUCCUUGUCCACUGUUAGAAAUCCGAGAUGUUUUAAUUGCAUGAGAUCACCUUUCUCCCUGCGAGGUGGAUGGCCUGUAUCCAUUAGCACCCAUCUUCCCAUACUAGCCUUGAGAGGAAAGACUGUCUUUCUCUGCCUUCUCAUUGCAAUUUAUAUUGCUUCUUUACCCUUUGUUAAGGUUUAACAGGAUUACAGCUAAUUUUAUUACAUGUAUCUUUCCCCUUGGUAGUACUUAAUACUCUCUUUUUAUUUUUAUGUGCCCCUUGCUUAGAGUAGGCACACUGAAUGUUGAAUUGAACUAAAUUCCCUAUCGAAUAAAUCGAUAAUACUGUUAACAUGUCUCAAUAUUUAUGAAUCUUGUAUGGAUUUAUUUCUUCAUUUCACAUAUAUUUAUAAGAGUACCUACUAUGUACUAUGUAUUUUUCCAAGUGCUGCACAUGCAGAGAUAAUGACUUGGAUAGACAGUAUUUGCCUUCAUGGAGCUUACAUUCUAAGGUGGGUGAUGUAAGUUUAGCAGAGGAGUACCAUAUGGAAUUCAGGAAAAGCUUCCUGGAGAAAAUAACCCCUGACUUGGGUCCUAGAGAACAAAUACAGAUUAGACUCUAUCAAGAAACACAUUUUCUCCAAGGGCAAAAUUUAAAACAGUGGUUCCCAAACUAUAGGGUGUUUGGGAAUUGUUUCGAGAGCUUAAUUUGUAUUUCAAAGCCCCACCUCAGAGGUUCUAUUUCAUUUGGUCUGGAGUGGAGCCCAAGAAUCUACAUUUUAUUAAGCUCCCCAGAAAUUCUGUCUGAGGUGCACUGGUAUCGAAUACUGAGCUCAUUAUGUAGAAUUCCUGGUAGCAGUGUUUCAGUGCCCACAGAUUAGACCUUGAAGUGUGAUCGUGAUAAAUAAGAGGACGAUUAAGAUGAGGAUUAGUGCCACUGAUCUUUUUUUUUUACUUGUGCUUCCUUAAAAAGAGAACUAUGUCAUGAAAAAUUUAGUGAUAGUAUGAGUUCCUGUGCAUUCUCAUUCAACAUAACUUUUUGAAAGUGUUCGAUGAUACAAUAAAUUGUAUUAUGUUAGUUUUAUGAUUCCUGAAAAUUCCUUUGGAUUAUUGUUCAAAUACUCCCUUCCAGACUCUCUUUACAAUGAUAGAUGCAAGGUAAAAAGAGAGUCUGAGGAAAUAUUUACCUAGUACAUCUCUGUCACUGUUCUAAAUGAAAUAAGACCGACCUUUAAGUAAAUGUGUGGUGGCAGCCAUCGUGCUGGCAUUUUUCAUUCUUGUAUAUAGGAAGCUUUCUUGCCUUUUAUCGUCAUCCUGAAUGGCUUUCUUGUCAUUAUAGGCAUCAGACGAACCUCAUUCCUGGAUUCUUCACUAGGAGCAGCAAUGUUUCUGUCCCCUGUGCUCUGAUCUCAAUUUCCUUGGUUGCUUUGCCUUUUCGCAGGCUCUUUUAGGUCAAAUGGCAGGUUAAUACAGCAGCCUCGAAUCAUCCUUUUUCUCUAAAAAUAAAUUCUGUGUAUAGGUUCAUCAUCUGAGUUUCUAUUUCCCCCUUAUUUAAAAUGUACUCAUACCUCCUUCUCUGGUGGAAUAUUUCACAUGGAUGUAUUUUGGAAGUAUUCUUCCCAACAAAGACCUGUGAUUAACCCACUGAAAAAUGAGGUCACUUGAAUAUUUGGAAUAACAUCCCAUGGAAUGGCUAUUUUGUGACUGCUGCUAUAUCGUUGCAUUUGGUCUGUUUAUGGCUUGAGAUCUGGUUAAUUUGAUCUGAAGGUGAAAGAGUUUGAAUUCUUGAAUUAUUAGUCCAUUAUCCAAAAUGAAUGUAAGAAUCUUGCUUUAUUCUCUCCCUAUUUAGACAAGUAUAUAUCUUGCUGAAAACGUUUCUUCUUUCUUCCUCCCUUUUCCCCAUUCCUAUUCAUAUACUUUCAUGCUAGAUUCCAUAGGUCAUCACAGCUGAAUAAUUUCUAUCAAAAAGUGAUAACGUGGAAUUCCCUGGUGGCUCAGAGGGUUAAAGGAUCUGGUGCUGUGACUGCCGUGGCUCAGGUCACUACUGUGGCGCAGGUUCAAUCCCUGGCCCAGGAAUUUCCACAUGCCAUUGGCAGAGCCCAAAAAAAAACAAAAACCAAACAAAAACCAAAAACCAAAAACAAAUAAACACAACAACCAGAAAGUGAUACCCUGGCUUUUUUCACUAAAUCACGAGGACAGGACAGUAGGGAGGACCAGAUGGGUUUUCUCAGAGACAAGAGCGCAAAGCGAGACCCUCUUUAGUCAUUAAGUCUGUUGUAUCUCAACAAACUUGAUCGUUGCUGUUGUUGUUGUAUACUUAUCUUGACUAGAAGGAUAGCAUAUUAAAGAGGUGGGGAGCAGAGAAGAAAAUUUGGUUAUCGAUCUAGCAAAUGUUUGGCAUAAUUUUAUUCUAGAAUUUCAACCUCUUAAUACAUAAAAAUUUCUAAGCAAUUAAUUAUGAGCACAAACUCACGGAUGUGGCAAUAGUUUUAUAAGAUCUUUGACAUUAUUUCAAUGUCAUCUUGACAGUCUGCAUCACAAAUUGUCCUAUUAUUUCAGGACCCUUUUUCACCCGUUUUUUGUUAUUCUCAUCACUAUUUGAUAUUUUAGUUUGCCUUUUACAUAUUCAAGACUAUUCUAAAAAGAAAAACCUAACACCUUUCUGUUUCUUCCUUUAACCUGUGAUCGCUCACCUGACAUUUAAUUGUGUUUAAAACGAAUAUCCAGCAGAUGGAAGAUAAUAGUCUAUUAUACACUGAAAAUAAACAGUUUUCUGAAAUUUGUUUAUCUAUUCAGACAUCGCAAGAAUGCUAUUUCCGUAAGUCUAAGCAGUUAAUAUUAAAUAUGACUAUCGUGUUUAAUGACAAAAUGGGGUUUUCCCUUAUCCCUGCCUUUCCCUGCCUUUCUCAUCUCUCCUGCCUUUCACAUCUGGUCGAAGGCUGGGAAGCUCUUACCACACUGCAUUCGUCAGCUUCUGAGUGGGCUCACCUCCUCCAGAUGGCAUUGUUUUCAAUAACAGCCGAACUUUGUAUACCCUCAGGGUCGGUCCUCACCAGUGAUUCCUGUCCAUAACCCCAUUAAUGUUGAGAGAAGUAAUACAGAGGCACCGAGAGAAGACCCCUGUCUUCUAAGCCCUCUUCGAGCCCUGGUACAGGAUGACACCAUUAACACCGAAAGAGUUCAGUCGUGAUGGUGUAGAAGCCAGGUGCUUGCAAAUGAGAUUUUAGGUCAUUAUGUCCUAAAUUCUCUCCUUUUGGUCUUCUCCCUUCCUCCCCCCAACCCCAAGAGUGCACCUUCUUUUUAUUAUAAAUUUUGUCAGAAAGCCUUUUAAAAAGUUCCUGGUUUUAAAAAUGUGAAAUGUUGACUUAACUGGGCAAUUUCGUAAAAAAGGAAAACGUAAGCAGAUAGAAUCAUGGGAAGCUGGGGAGGGGCUUGCUUCUGUUUGGAGCCAAAUCUCUUUGCUUCAAUAUUGAGAAUAUUUACAGCAUUCUGUAAUUAGGUCACAUUUGUUUUGUGAGGAGAGAUGAGGGUAGCUUUUAGAUAUGAAUUGGCUCUCUUAGUAUUGAAGUAUAUUUAAACAGUUCUUUAAAACACAGCCAGGAAAUCAUGGUGACGUUUACAAUAGCAUUUUGAAAUUAUAACUACUACUUUAAAUUUACUAAGAGAAAAUUUCCGGUAGUAGCUUGCAUUACAGAGUUAAUUUAUAAUGUCUCUACAUAAUUUUAUUGAGAAGACUUUUAUUUUUGUGGUGAAAAUAAUAUAGUGGCAACAGUUUUGAGGAAUCUUUAAAGCUGUCAUAGAGGGGAGAGCCAAACUUUGGCUGGAUUUUUACUAGACUUUUAAAGUAAGAAAAUGUAUCAAUAUUACCUUUCAGUUCAAUUGGUCUUGAUGAAGAAUGAUUAUUUGAGUUUAAGGGUCUUGAUAAAUGUUGGCAUCUGUUGUUUUUCUGAAACUCAUGAUGUUCAUCAGAGCGCAAUAUUCUUGCAUUGUGUUUUUUCUCUCAAAAUAAUGUAAUUUUUAUGAAAAACUCAAUUAGUGGAAUAUUUGAUGCAGUAUCCCCUUAUUUUGCUUCUUUCCUUCUUCCUUCCUAUUAUUUUUUUGAGGCAAGAAGCUUCCUUAAUAGUAUAGUUUCUACAGAGCUUUCUUACUUAUUUUUCUAGUAAUGGAUUUAAUGCUGUAAUGAUGUUUAAAUGCUCUGUGAGCAAAACUGUUAAACAACCUGAAGAAAUGCACUGCUGACUGACACUUCCUUUGGUCUUAAAUUGUCUCCUGCAUCUUUUCUAGUGACUCUCCGCUAUUAAUGGAUCUUAUUAAGAUAGUGUCUGUAUAGUUAGCAACAGUGUUGUAUUACUGUCACAUAUUAAGUUGCACUUUUGAUCAAAACUAUAAACAGAUGCGUGUGUAAAACAACCCAUUUUAUAGAAUGAGCAUAUGUCUAACCAUUUUCAUGGAAUUGGAAACGUGCUAUAUGUUGCAUUUUAUUCUCAUAUCGACUUUUCUACUCUCUCUACACCGGUUGUCUCGGUGCCUUUUUUCCUUUUGUAUAACUGUAUCACGUAAAGAAAUUGCUGACCUCUGUGUAAACAACGUAAAAACUGUUAAAAUCAUUAAUUCAAGGAGAUUUUAAUGGCAGUUUAAUUUUCCAGAGAAUAAAUUUUUGUGUGGGUUCCAAGUUACUUUUUUUCACUUUUCUGUAAGAAAUCUCUUCACGUUUCAGUACUCCCUCGGAGUGGGUAAGCAUCUGACGUCUCUGAUGAUGAUACACAAAAAUCAGCCAGAAUUCUUAUCAUUGACAAAUAAGUGUUAAUGUGACAAUUACACAAAAUAAAAUAAUGUUGGUU
This 6027-nucleotide long non-coding RNA is filed under the name Sus scrofa (pig). Its description in RNAcentral is "lncRNA (ENSSSCG00000058981.1)". Lineage: Eukaryota; Metazoa; Chordata; Mammalia; Artiodactyla; Suidae. The record is from RNAcentral.